RNAcentral lists this ribosomal RNA (262 nucleotides) under uncultured bacterium. Its description in RNAcentral is "partial 16S ribosomal RNA". It matches the Rfam family "Bacterial small subunit ribosomal RNA", at positions 512 to 773 of the family's 1533-position model. The record is from RNAcentral.
CAGCCGCGGUAAUACGAAGGGUGCAAGCGUUACUCGGAAUUACUGGGCGUAAAGCGUGCGUAGGUGGUUCGUUAAGUCUGAUGUGAAAGCCCCGGGCUCAACCCGGGAACUGCAUCCGAAACCAUCUCGCUAGAGUAUGGGAGAGGGAAGCGGAAUUCCUGGUGUAGAGGUGAAAUUCGUAGAUAUCAGGAGGAACACCUGCGGCGAAGGCGGCUUCCUGGCCCAUUACUGACGUUCAGGUACGAAAGCGUGGGUAGCAAAC